AAGAAAAUAAACAAAGAGAGAACUGAUUUAGUUAAUCUAGUCCAACCAGAUUCUACCUUAUAUCUUUAGUCAAGAGUGUUUCCGACAACAAUGAUUGAUAUAUGGCCUCUUGGUGAAAUAGUCUGAGCAAAGUCUGACUACUGCGUCACAUUUCUUUUUAAUAGCCCUAUUCUAGUUCAAACCGCUGAGUGACUGUGCGUUAGUCGUUGACUGUAGGCAUAGAUUAACCUGGACAAACAAAACAAACAUUAAAAACUGGUGAUUCAUGUAAUGUUGUUGCUGCUGCUGCUGCUGCUGACAAAGUCACACACGUCAAAGCUAGAGUAGGUUUAGAUUUUCUGACGGGCAAACAUGUAAAAAGCAUAUGAACGUUCUCAUUAUUCCCGGUGUGGUUCACAGGAUUAUUAAUGAUUUAACGAAAUAACAAAACAGCAGCAGUGCGCUGACGUAAAAAAAGAUGCAAAAGAAAACAGAUGACAUUAUGUAACUUGCUAGUUUAACCUACAUCAUGACGUGAUGAGAGCGUUCCCCGUGAGUGUAGCCUCAUGUGAGAGGCGCUACAGGUUGCCAUGGUGAGUGCUGAUACUGACCUGUAGUCACCCUGAUUUGUUUCACCAGUUGGUUUGUCUCCACCCAGGUGUUCCCGAGUUCCCCUCUUGUCAUGUCUCCCAACCACGGACCUGCCUUCCCCAGUGUACCUCUGCCAUUCGGUCCUGAUACCGACCUCUGACCUCCCACCGACCUCUGAC
Hypomesus transpacificus is the source of this 749-nucleotide long non-coding RNA. RefSeq lists it as uncharacterized. The record is from RefSeq and is a predicted model, not a curated record. Lineage: Eukaryota; Metazoa; Chordata; Actinopteri; Osmeriformes; Osmeridae. The transcript is spliced from 3 exons.